This is a long non-coding RNA of Manduca sexta (tobacco hornworm), 5384 nucleotides long. RefSeq lists it as uncharacterized. The transcript has 2 exons. The record is from RefSeq and is a predicted model, not a curated record. Lineage: Eukaryota; Metazoa; Arthropoda; Insecta; Lepidoptera; Sphingidae.
CACUUAUUCUAUUUUUAAUUAUCUAUUCUAAUUCUCUAAUUAUCUCAAAUAAUAAUUAUUAGUUAUUCCAAUUUAAUUGGAAUUUAGCCUGAUUGUGUUUUUAUUUUUCCACAUCUCACGCAAUAAUUUUUUAAAAGUGUACAGGUUUCAUGUAGCCAGUCAUUACACAUUGAAUACAGUCGGAUUGCGACUUCGUAUUUUUAUAGCUUUCAAAACAUUCAAUGUAGUUAUCUUUAUUUGUAUCUUUGGCGUUAUCCUGUCUAUCUCUUAUAGUUUUAUUUACAGGCAAAUCUUUAGUAUUCUUUCCUUUAAUUUUAUGGUUAGAUUGUUUCCAUCUUCACUAUUUGAACUGUAAAUAGUUUGUCUUUUUAGUAAAGGUCGGUCUUGGUUUAUUUUUAAAUAAUUAUCAUUUUCUUUAUCACACGAGUCAGCUAGAUUGUCAUCGUCAUUUUCGCUAGAAGAAUUUGUUUCAUUUUGUUUUCUUUUUGUAUUUUUGGUGUCUGUAUUGGUGGUUCUUUUUUAAUAAGAAAGACACUCUUUUACAAAUGUUCAUUUCAUGUUUAACUUCAUUAUUUUGGAUCAAUGGUAUAAUCCGCGCGCGAUCAAGAUGGGAUGCGACCUUUCGGAAUUGAGAUCGAUCGAUAAAACCGAACUGUAAUCAUAAAUAAUGCCAACACAACUCAAAAUAGCUAUCCACUUUUAAGUUUAUGACAAAAUCUUAAAGAAAUUCCAACAACAAACGAAUAUUAGAUAAAUUUAUGAAAUAGCAAAAUAAAAUUCUGCCAAGUUCGUUAAGAAAGAAAUGAGAACGUUUAGAUAUAUUAUUAGCUUGGCACUUCACGACAUGUAAUAUAAUAAUAGGGUCAACUAAGACGACGACGCGACGUCGCUCGACGCAACUGGAGAGGAUUUCUUUGACCCGGGUGGGCACGUCACUUUCGCCCAGGUCGCGGACAUGUCGCUUGUGCGGGUGCGUGUUAAAAUAUAUUUUUAUGCAUUAAUUUGAGACUUAUCAGGGUAUACUGGAAAGAAAAAAAAAACAAAGAAAAGUUGCAGAGAUCAAAAUUAGAGAUAAACCUAAAAUCCCCUAAAAAAUAUCAAAAAUUGAAAAUAAGAAGACAAUGGAUCUCACGCCUCUAGUAUUAGCUCUAACUGAUUCGUAUAAAGACCAACCGAGAUCUUGGUCUCUCGACACCAAACUACUCACUCCUACCGACAUCUGUAUCUGAAAAAUUUAGCGUCAGAAACUUGAAAGGUUAUUGCCUACCGUAGAGUGGAGGUCGAGGGGGACGCAGGCCACGAUCGCGGUCGCGUUCUCCAUUGGGUCAUCCGAGGCCGUAAGUAUUAAAAUCGGUUUGUUUUUAUUUCUUGUGUAUACUUUGUAUGGUAUGGUAUGGUUAUGGGCUCCUUUUUCCGCACUUAGCCCGUAAAAAAGUCGGGCCAUUGUGCGUGACGUGCAUGCCGGCUACAAAGCAAGCCAGCCUAACUCCUUCCAGAAGCGCAGGGUCCUCCUGGUGUCUCCACAGGCUUCUCGGAGUGACCCCGGCGAAUCGAGGAUUUUUGCCCGUUGCGCAGCUACUCCUUCACAUUCCAGGAUGACGUGGUAAGCUGUUUCGUCGGCCGACAGGCAUCCCCUACAUAGGGGGCUGUCGGUCAUACCUAGAACAUAUAAAUGUUUUUUUAGUGGGCAAUGUCCAGUAAUGGUACCUACCACUAUGCGUAGGGAUGCCCUGUCCAAAGAUAAAAGGCGCUUAGUCAGACGAGGAUCCGGGUGUGGCACGGUUUCCCGGGAUUGUCUGCAUGUACUGAUACUCGCCCAUUGAUCCGCGUGUAGUUUAUGUUUUCUGUGACGCAGCCAUGUUCUCAGCUGGUAAAAGGGGAGCGACAUGAUUGGUUCGGGACCCAAUAAGGUCUGGUACGAUUCUCUUUUUGCCAGCUCGUCAGCUGCGUCAUUUCCUAGAGAGCCACUGUGCCCUUUGAUCCACUGUAGGGUAACUGAGUUAUGUUUUCCUAUACCCUCCAGUGUUUGGUAGCACUCUAGUAUGAGCCCUGAUUGAAUGGUCUUGCUAUCAAGGGCUCGUAAUACAGCAGCGCUAUCGGAUACAAUACGUAUUUUGUGGCCUAUAAGGCCCCGCUUUUCCACUGCUUUGGCUGCCUCCGUGAUGGCGACACAUUCACAUUGGUAGAUGGAACUGUGUGCGCCUAAGGCCAUUAUUAUCUUGAUGUUAAUUUCUGGUGAGAACACACCUGCCCCCGAUCGUGUCCUGGUCUUAGACCCAUCGGUGUAUAUUCGCAGUUCGUGUGUGCCAGACCAGUCAUGCUGUUCUUCGGUCAGCCUAACGGUGUUAGUUUUUUCCGAAGAUAUAUUGUUUGGGUACCCUGUCGUUGGGAGCGGCCAUCAGUGGUUUGUAGUUGAUGGCCUCUUCCAGAAUUUCGGCGUGGGCACCUAUUGCUGUACCCCAGAGGUUGAGUGUCUUUAACCUGACUGCUGCUGAGGCUGCCUCUUGUUGGAUAAACAGAUCCAGGGGCGGCAGUCCCAACAGGACAUCUAAAGCAGCUGUGGGUGUAGUUUUCAUGCAGCCCGUUAUAGCUGUACACGCUAAUCUCUGAAAUUGCUGCAGUUUGUUUCUGGCUGUGGAUGGUUUAGUUCUGGGCCACCAGACUACAGCUCCAUAGGUGGUGAUUGGUCGUACCCCCGCAGUAUAUAGCCAUCUGGCAAUUUUAGGUUGUACGCCCUAAGUUUUGCCGAGAAGUCUUUUACACUGCCAGAAUGUGAUACAGGCCUUUUCUAGUUUGUGGUCCAGAUGUUUAUUCCAUAACAGUUUAUCAUCCAAAAUAACACCUAGGUAUUUCACCUCUUUUGUAAGAGAUAACGUAGUGCCUUGUAAUUGAGGUAAGCGAAAAUUUUCUGUAGUGCGCUUUCUCGUGAACAAUACGAGUUCGAUUUUCGAUGGGUUUACCGUUAGGCCCCUUCAUGAGAUCGCAUAGGACGCCUACGAAUUUUCCCUUAAUAAGGAUCGCUACAUCGUCUGCAUAGCCUACAGUGUGGAAGCCUGCCUCGUUUAGUGACCUAAUUAGGUCAUCCACUACGAGGUUCCACAGGAGUGGCGAUAUUACUCCCCCCUGUGGACAGCCUUUCGAUACAAUGGCUCGGACUCUGCCAUUGACUGUCACCUGCACCGCUCUUUUCCUUAACAUGUUACCUAUCCAGUUGACUGUGCAUGGGUCAGCACCAUAGUUGAGCAGUGCACGGCUUAUGCUGUUAAACUGCGUCUUGUCAAAAGCUCCUUCGAUGUCAAUGAAGGCUGCAAGCGCUGAAGAUUGAGUUGAUAGUGCGCUCUCUAUUGUCGUAAUGACAUUGUGAAGCGUUGAUUCGGUUGAUUUGCCAGAGGAGUAGGCGUGUUGUUGGUGAUGUAGAGGGUGGUAAGUUAGAGCCUCAUCUCGGAGAUCUCGAUCACAUAAUCUCUCCAUUGCCUUAAGAAGGAAGGAAUGAGGCUGAUUGGUCUAUGACUCUAUACAAUUUUGGUUGUGUAUAGUCGCUCUUACCUGGUUUAGGUAUAAAUACUACUUUUACUUCUCUCCAUUUAUGGGGGGUGUAGCAGUGUAUUAGGCAUCCUCGGUAGAUCUUAACUAGAUGUGGAGCAAUUGUGCUUUUGCUCCACUGUAGAAGUCCUGGGAAGAUGCCGUCAAGACCAGCCGCUUUAUAGGCAGAGAAGCUGUUUAUUGCCCAUAGGACUUUUUCCAACGUGAUUACUCGCUGGGCAGUAGAGAUGGGGUCACUAGUUGCUUGUUUAAAUUUUUGUUGGUCCUCCUCCUCCCAUGUGGUGUUCUCCGUUACGGAGCAACCUGGAAAGUGUGUGUUAAGUAACAGCUCGCACAUUUCUGUGUCAGUUGUUGUAUAGCUGUUAUUUGGUUUCUUCAGGGAGCCUAGGUUGCGAUCUGGGUCUUUGGAUACGAUUUUUCUCACCCUAACUGCCUGUGUGUUUGAUUCGAUGUUAGUACGGAAAGUUCGCCAGCAUUCGCGCUUCCGUACCCGGAUGCAUUUCUUGUAUGCUGCCUGGGUUGCCUUGUACGCAUCCCAGUCUUCUGCUUUCCUUGUGUUUUUUGCUCUUUUAAACAGUUUGCGUAGUUUGCAUCUCAAUUUCUCGAGUUGAGGACUCCACCAGCCGCUGCGAUUGGCAGUCCUCGGAGUGUGUCCCGUGAGCGGACAGCUUUUUUGAAAUGCGUCUAUUAGUGUUUCUGUCAGUUUAUUUACGUGUUUCUCUAUGUCAGCCGGCCCGCAAUAUUCCUCGGGGACGUGUUUGAGGUUCGGGCUUGCUGACACCAGUUUUCCGAACCAUACGCUAUCAGUUAUUUUAGGGUUGCGCCAAGGUUCGGGCUUCUUAGUGUCCACGUUCAGUUUGUAUCUUAUCCAUCUGUGAUCCGAGUUGGAUAGUUCGUUAGAUACCUGCCAAUCUGAUAUUUUUUCCGAAAUAUUAUCCGUUGACAGUGUUAUGUCUAUAAUAGUUUGGUAUCUGGAAGUUACAAAGGUGGGUUCGGACCCUCUGUUUAUAAGCCUAAGAUUAGUGGAGAAUAAAAAUUCAACCAAGUCAUCACCACUUUUAUUGGAAGCGCCGCUGCCCCAGAUAGUAUGAUGAGCGUUCGCGUCCGCCGAGAUGAUCAGCUAUGCUAUUCUGUAACAUCUCACAGUAUUACUCACUUCUGAAUCCGCGGUGAAAACGCUACUUGGAAGUCUCAACACGAGUGAAAUCUACUACUAACGUUACAAGGUGAAAAUGACGGUGAGGUGAACUAUUUUUAAGUGAGAUCUUACUUAUUUGACGUUAAACGGUAUUCGGCAGCAAAGAUUUCGAUAGUCACUUUAGAAUUUAAAUGUCAAAUCAAAAGUUAAUCAUUUGCUAGCGAAAAGAAAAGUGAGAACUAUAUAAAUUGUGAUUAAGGUAUUUUAAAAAGAAUUUAAAUAAGUUAUUUCCUUAAAAUGUAAGUGAAAUUAUUGAAUACGUCUAUAAAAAGAUAACACGCACUAUAUUUUUAAAAUUUUACAUUUAUUAACUUUGUAGAUGGCUCGAUCAUUUCUUUUGUUAAGUAUGUUGAAAGAAGCCCACGAAUUAGAAGUGAGUACCAGCCGUCGCCAAGCUCAAAUUAUCAGAAAUUUACCACUUGUAAAUCGCGAUGACGAAUUUGUGCACAUCUAUAGACUAACGGAGGAUUUAAUUAAAGGUUUAGAAAAUGAACUAAGUCCUUUGUUAAACACAACUAAGCGUCACGGGAAAGGACUUACAAUAAGGUGCAAGAUCCUUUGCACAUUAUCGUUUUUGGCGAACGGCAGUUACCAAAAAAUAUUAGGGAGAAAUACCUAGUCUUGCCAUAAAUAUUGUAAUAAA